This 408-nucleotide ribosomal RNA is filed under the name uncultured bacterium. RNAcentral describes it as "partial 16S ribosomal RNA". It matches the Rfam family "Bacterial small subunit ribosomal RNA", at positions 28 to 526 of the family's 1533-position model. The record is from RNAcentral.
GACGAACGCUGGCGGCGUGCUUAACACAUGCAAGUCGAACGAAGUGGCGAACGGGUGAGUAACGCGUAAUCAACCUGCCCUUCAGAGGGGUACAAAAGUUGGAAACGACUGCUAAUACCGCAUACUGAAGGAGGUGAUUUCGUCGGAUUAGCUAGUUGGAGGGGUAACCGCCCAACAAGGCGAUGGUCAGUAGCCGGGCUGGGAGGAGGAACGGCCACAAUGGGACUGAGACACGGGUCAGACUCCUACGGGAGGCAGCAGUGGGGAAACUUCCGAAAUGGAGGAAAGUCUUACGUGGCAACGGCGCGUGAGUGAUGACGGCCUUCGGGUUGUAAAGCUCUGUUAAGCGGGACGCGGUACCGGAAUAGAAAGCCACGGCUAACUACGUGCCAGCAGCCGCGGUAAUUC